RNAcentral lists this transfer RNA (69 nucleotides) under Ictidomys tridecemlineatus (thirteen-lined ground squirrel). RNAcentral's name for it is "Spermophilus tridecemlineatus (thirteen-lined ground squirrel) tRNA". It matches the Rfam family "tRNA". From Rfam's summary of the family: Transfer RNA (tRNA) molecules are approximately 80 nucleotides in length. Their secondary structure includes four short double-helical elements and three loops (D, anti-codon, and T loops). The record is from Rfam by way of RNAcentral. Lineage: Eukaryota; Metazoa; Chordata; Mammalia; Rodentia; Sciuridae.
GGGGUUAUGGCUCAGUGGUAGAGCACUCGCCUCACAUGUGUGAGACCCUGGGUUCAAUGCUCAGUACCA